UAUAAUAACCUCUUUAAAUCUUUCGAUUAAUCAAUAUAUCAAAAUAACUGAAUACAAUAGGAGGCUUAAGAAGCCUAUUUAUAAUAAAGCAUAAAACCCUAAAACUAAGAAUAUUCUAUAAUAAUUAUAAUAGAUAAAUUAAGAGAUAAUAAUAAGAGAUAUUUGGAAUAUCUCGCUGCAUCAGGUCUCGCCGGCCAAGAAAAGAUUCGUCCUCGAAUCUUGUAUCUGCGCUGCAUCAGCUCCCGCCGGCCAAGAAAGAUUCGCCCUCGAAUCUUCAGCAGAUUUUUCAGCAAAAGAGAUCUUUGUAGAUCCAUCUUUAUCUCUGUCAAUUGAUUUUGCUCGAUUUUUGCACAAUCCCGGUUUGAUACGAAAUUUCCACGAACUGUAACUGACCCAAAAUUUGCACGAACCAGAUCUGACCCAAAAAUUGCACGAACCGGAUCUGACCAAAAUUUCGCACAAAUCACCUCCUCGACAGAUGCACAGGUCGGAACUUGCAUGAAACUUGCACAAAUCAGUGGUUUCAUGAUUUCUACAGAAAACCCAAAUUUUGCACGGAUCUGAUUUCGCCCGAACUUUGCACAAAUCAGAUCGUCUUCAUAAACAUCAUAGAUCGGAUCACCAACAAUUUCUCUGUAGAUCUGGUGGUUCUCCUCUCUCUCGAUAAAAGGACUUUCGUCCAUGAUAGGGUAGAUGCAAUCACUUGCCAUGUGAUAACCAGAAUCGUUCAUUGAUUAAGAAAUCAAAGAGACACAGCUCUGAUACCAAAUGGUGGAGAGCGGAAGCGAUAAAAAGGAUAAAUUUGGGAAUACUCUUCCCCGUGCUCGAAAGCUCGUUUAUAAAGGAGAAAUCUCUCAACUUUAUUAAUCAAAAUCAAUAUCAAUCAUCAAACUUUCCUAAAAGUGUCUAUUUAUAAUAAACCUUAAAACCCUAAUACAGUAAAACCUCUAUAAAUUAAUAAUGUUGGGACCAUGAAAAUCUAUUAAUUUAUAGAGGUUUUAAUUUAUCGAUAAAUUAAUAAUUAUUAAUUCAUAGAGAGAUUUUCCUAAUUUGGAAAGUUUUUUCAAAAAGAUAUUUAAAAAUAAGAUUUAGUCAUGAUAAUUAGUAUUUUAUAUAAUCAUUAACAAAGAAAAUAAUAAUUAUUAUGUCUUGAAAGAGAAUUUUAACAACUUUUAUAUAGUAAAAUAUUAGAGAUAAACUCUAACAAAAAAUAUUGUGUCUAUAUACACAUAUAUUUUGAAAAUUUUACCUAAUUAUUAAUUUAUAAUAUUGAUGGGACCAUAUAUUUACAAAGGAUUUUCAAAAAAAAUAUUAUCUUAUUAUUUUAUCGAAAUGUGUCUAAAAUUGCACUGGUCCCAACUUGGGACCGGAGAAAUUUAUUAAUUUAUAGAGAUUAUUAAUUUAUCGAGUAUUAAUUUAUAGAGGUUUUACUGUACUUGUAAUAUUCUAAAAUAAUAAUAAAUAAUUAGCUAAAGAUAAUAACUAAAGAUAUUUGAGAAUAUUUGGAAAUAUUUCAAAUAUCUUGUUGCAUCAGGUAAUGGUGGAGAGCGGAAGCGAUAAAAAGGAUAAAUUUGGGAAUACUCUUCCCCGUGCUCGAAAGCUCGUUUAUAAAGGAAAAACCUCUCAACUUUAUUAAUCAAAAUCAAUAUCAAUCAUCAAAUUUUCCUAAAAGUCUCUAUUUAUAAUAAAACUUAAAACCCUAAUACUUGGAAUAUUCUAAAAUAAUAAUAAAUAAUUAACUAAAGAUAAUAACUAAAGAUAUUUGAGAAUAUUUGGAAAUAUUUCAAAUAUCUUGUUGCAUCAGGUCUCGCCGGCCAAGAAAAGAUUCGUCCUCGAAUCUUGUAUCUGCGCUGCAUCAGCUCCCACCGGCCAAGAAAGAUUCGCCCUCGAAUCUUCAGCAGGGUGUUCAACAAGGAAAAUCUUCGCAGAUCCAUUUUAAUAACUAACUUUUGAUUUUGCACAAAUUUUGCACGAAUCCGGUUUGACCCGAAAUUUGCACGAACCGUAUCUUGCCCGAAAUUUGCACGAACCGUAUCUUGCCCGAAAUUUGCACAUAUCCGAUUUCGCCCGGUAUCUGCACAAAGCAGAUUCACAAAAUCUUUCUCUUUCAAGACGAACUCUGAAACCAUGCUGUCAUCUUCAUCACCAUCGUUUCCAUCAUCAUCCUCAUCAACAACAUCACCAUCUUUGUUAUCGCCUUCAACAACUUCAUCAUCAACAUCGUCUUCAACAUCGGGUUUAACAUCUUCAUUGAAUCGAUGGUUAUCACGAGGAAAAACUUGUUGUUGUUGUUGCAGUCGAUCAAUCAAUUGAAGCUGAGCUUGAAAGUGUACCUCAAGGGCUCUAGCAAGAUUCUGUGUAAAAUCCAGUAAUGCUUGUCGUAAAGCAUCAUGUAGUCCGUUUUGUUGGUCUUGCAAAUUCUUUGGAGGCAUCAUGAAAAGAACCGUUUUGGCUCUGAUA
This 2460-nucleotide long non-coding RNA is filed under the name Capsella rubella. RNAcentral's name for it is "long non-coding RNA (CRUB_LNC000546)". The record is from RNAcentral. Lineage: Eukaryota; Viridiplantae; Streptophyta; Magnoliopsida; Brassicales; Brassicaceae.